Molecule: ribosomal RNA, 200 nt
Filed under: uncultured bacterium
Lineage: Bacteria
Description: partial 16S ribosomal RNA
Rfam family: Bacterial small subunit ribosomal RNA
Source: RNAcentral
GGUGAACGCUAGCGGCAGGCUUAACACAUGCAAGUCGAGGGGUAUGGUUCUUCGGAACCAGAGACCGGCGCACGGGUGCGUAACGCGUAUGCAAUCUACCUUUUACAGAGGGAUAGCCCAGAGAAAUUUGGAUUAAUACCUCAUAGUAUUAUGAAAUGGCAUCAUUUUAUAAUUAAAGUCACAACGGUAAAAGAUGAGCA